AUUGAACGCUGGCGGCAGGCCUAACACAUGCAAGUCGAGCGAGAAAGGUCUUCGGACUGAGUACAGCGGCGGACGGGUGAGUAAUGCGCAGGAAUCUACCUGGUAGUGGGGGAUAACUCGGGGAAACUCGAACUAAUACCGCAUACGCCCUACGGGGAAAGCGGGGGACCUUCGGGCCUCGCGCUAUCAGAUGAGCCUGCGUAGGAUUAGCUUGUUGGUGAGGUAAAGGCUCACCAAGGCGACGAUCCUUAGCUGGUCUGAGAGGAUGAUCAGCCACACUGGAACUGAGACACGGUCCAGACUCCUACGGGAGGCAGCAGUGGGGAAUAUUGCGCAAUGGGCGAAAGCCUGACGCAGCCAUGCCGCGUGUGUGAAGAAGGCCCUUGGGUUGUAAAGCACUUUCAAUUGGGAAGAAAGGUUGCGUGUUAAUAGCACGUAGCUGUGACGUUACCUUUAGAAGAAGCACCGGCUAACUCCGUGCCAGCAGCCGCGGUAAAG
This 498-nucleotide ribosomal RNA is filed under the name uncultured bacterium. RNAcentral's name for it is "bacterial SSU rRNA". It matches the Rfam family "Bacterial small subunit ribosomal RNA", at positions 30 to 525 of the family's 1533-position model. The record is from RNAcentral.